UACGGAGGUCGCAAGCGUUGCUCGGAAUCACUGGGCGUAAAGCGGGUGUAGGCGGCUUCUUAAGUCGGGUGUGAAAUCCUCUGGCUCAACCAGAGAAUUGCGCCCGAAACUGAGAGGCUAGAGUGGGGCAGAGGGAGACGGAAUUCCCGGUGUAGCGGUGAAAUGCGUUGAUAUCGGGAGGAACACCAGUGGCGAAGGCGGUCUCCUGGGCCCUUACUGACGCUCAGACCCGAAAGCGUCGGGGAGCAAACCGG
This 254-nucleotide ribosomal RNA is filed under the name uncultured bacterium. RNAcentral describes it as "partial 16S ribosomal RNA". It matches the Rfam family "Bacterial small subunit ribosomal RNA", at positions 524 to 776 of the family's 1533-position model. The record is from RNAcentral.